AACGAACGCUGGCGGCAGGCUUAACACAUGCAAGUCGAGCGCCCCGCAAGGGGAGCGGCAGACGGGUGAGUAACGCGUGGGGAUCUGCCUAGUGGUACGGAACAACACGGGGAAACUCGUGCUAAUACCGUAUAAGUCCUUCGGGAGAAAGAUUUAUCGCCAUUAGAUGAACCCGCGUCUGAUUAGCUAGUUGGUGAGGUAACGGCUCACCAAGGCGACGAUCAGUAGCUGGUCUGAGAGGAUGAUCAGCCACACUGGGACUGAGACACGGCCCAGACUCCUACGGGAGGCAGCAGUGGGGAAUAUUGGACAAUGGGCGCAAGCCUGAUCCAGCCAUGCCGCGUGAGUGAUGAAGGCCUUAGGGUUGUAAAGCUCUUUCGCUGGGGAAGAUAGUGACGGUACCCAGAGAAGAAGCCCCGGCUAACUUCGUGCCAGCAGCCGCCGCAG
This 447-nucleotide ribosomal RNA is filed under the name uncultured bacterium. RNAcentral describes it as "partial 16S ribosomal RNA". It matches the Rfam family "Bacterial small subunit ribosomal RNA", at positions 29 to 523 of the family's 1533-position model. The record is from RNAcentral.